Long non-coding RNA from Dermacentor albipictus, 1143 nucleotides. RefSeq lists it as uncharacterized. Lineage: Eukaryota; Metazoa; Arthropoda; Arachnida; Ixodida; Ixodidae. The record is from RefSeq and is a predicted model, not a curated record.
CACAACGGGUAUAACACAAUGCUGUGGCGCUUCGCCCGCUUUUACUCGUCAUAACCUGCACUAUUCUACAUCAACUCAUUUGCUAGGAAAGUCCAUAGCGUUGGGAGCGUCAGAAGUACAAAGCUUUGUGUGAGCUUUGUUUAUUAGAACCUGGUUUACGGCGACUUUUCUUUUUGUGAGGGAGAACGAAAAGUUGAUGUCCCACGACUCUCCCACGCACUCGGAUAUUACCAACAGUUGUAAUGGGCCAUGCUGCCGUACUAUAUCUUCUUUUUGGCAUAUGUGUCAUUCCAUCGCACCUUGCUAGCGCUGGCAAAAAAGAUACCCAAGGACCAAACGAAAGAUGUUUGACGGAAACAACAGUGGAAGGCUGCGCGACCAUCCUCUUGAGCUGGAGCUAUAGCAAUGAAACCAGUAAAUGCGAAAAAGGCUUCGUUUGUCAUGAAUGCCCUAACCGAUUUGACACUCAUGAAGAAUGCACUACUACCUGUCCAAUGCCACCGAAGCAAGCAACAAAACCAAAGCUCAUACGAAAACAACCACGAAGGAACUGCAGGUUUUGGCUUAUGCGUGGUGGAUCCUGCCAAGAUCUCUGGUUUGAAUUCAAGAAAAACAAGUUAGGGGUGAUGCGCCGACUGCUUUAUUACAGCGGCUGUCGGCAAGACAAGAAUAGGUUAUUUGAAUAUGACUUUUACAGGAAGAAAUGUCAUGAGGUCAAAAAUCGUCCGUCUGAAAAGACUCAACAGAAAGGAGGAAAACCUGAAGCCAGAAGACGAGGACGGAAACCUACAAGUUCAGAAGAAGCGAACACUGAAACCAAUACACACAAAGAGGCUGACGAAGGCGCUCGAUAACGAGCACGGGGAAACGCAUUGCGAAUACGUGAGAAGUAACGCAUAAAAGCAUGCACGAAACGGGCCAUCCCCUUGUACUCGUCACUCCGAUGUAAAGUAACAGCACAACUCCUGACGUUGGGCUCUGCCCUUGUAGAAAUCAUCCAACAUUUUCAAACACAGGUCCCACAUCUGUUGAUGCUAAUAGAUAGGCAACAGAAAUACCACAGAAAUUUUGUACUGAUUUUUGUCAGGGUGCUCUGGAUUGCCAGCUUUAGAAGCUUAAAAUAAAAGCAUUUUCGCUCUCUGG